This 72-nucleotide transfer RNA is filed under the name Ovis aries (sheep). It matches the Rfam family "tRNA". Rfam says of the family: Transfer RNA (tRNA) molecules are approximately 80 nucleotides in length. The record is from Rfam by way of RNAcentral. Lineage: Eukaryota; Metazoa; Chordata; Mammalia; Artiodactyla; Bovidae.
UCCCUGGUGACUCAGUUGGUAAAGAAUCUACCUGCAAUGCAGGAGACCCUGGUUCGAUUCCUGGAUUGGGAA